RNAcentral lists this long non-coding RNA (5497 nucleotides) under Nicotiana tabacum (common tobacco). RNAcentral's name for it is "long non-coding RNA (NTAB_LNC012340)". The record is from RNAcentral. Lineage: Eukaryota; Viridiplantae; Streptophyta; Magnoliopsida; Solanales; Solanaceae.
CUGUCUGCUGGAAGGGUCUGUCCAACUAUCAAUGAAGACCUGCAUGAAUGAAAUGCAGUUUCCCCGGCAAAACGGAUGUCAGUACGAAAUAAUAUACCGAGUAUGUAAGACAACAAAAUAACUGAAGGCUAAAACCGAACUAAUAAUAUAAUAAGUGAAAGUAACUAUGAGUCAAAGAUAAUCUUAAGAUAUGCUUACCUACUGAUACUCAUUCAACUUUCUCAAUAUAGUAAGGAAAAUAGUUGCCUGUCCUUAUAAGGCUCGGUAUGUAUAACUGCUCUGCCGUACUAAGCUCGCUCAUAGGCGCUCGACCACACUAGACUCUGUAUCGUAGCCAUUCUGGGCUCGCUCAUAGGCACUCAGCCAUAGUAGGCUCGGUAUAUAAAUCACCAUCUGAUAAGAGGUUUACCAAUAAGGGCCUGCUAAUCGAUUAUAGCUCGAUGGUAGCGAAAAUACUAUAAUAAUGUAAUACUAUAUAUAUAUAUAGACUCUCUUAUCUCUUGGAUGAAAUAAGACAAAACUUAACUGAAUAUGAAGUAUUGAUAAGGGAGAAUACUAUAACUUAUGAGACUAGGAAAAUGUACAUAAAUUCAGGAAUAUGAACUUCUUUUUAUGUCUUGUUAUCAAACACGUGUAGUUACUGGAUCAUGCCAAAAUGAAGGAAAGGUUUAGCCUUAUCAUACUUUUGCAAUCUUCCCUCCAAUCGCCAACCAAGCUCAAUAUGAUCUUCUUACGUCUACAAUAAGUAACCCGACUUCGUCGUCAUCAUAUAAGCAUUGUAACACUCACAUUUCAAAACCAAUAUUCUACAAGAAAAUUGAAAGCAACUCCCCUAUAUUUAUUACAUCCCAUAAGUGAUUAAAAGUCACCAAACAGCCCAAACAACAACAAAAUAAUUCACAAUAAGAUCUCUGAUUACUUCAACAACCAUUUGAGCUUCAAGCUGUAUAUGCAAUUAACAAAAUAUAAUUUAGUCUUAUUCCUUAUCUAUAAAUCUUCCUACAACUUAUAUAACAUCAUACUUAUCCUUACUAUAUCAUUUUCAGCCCAAAACAUCAUAAGAAUAAUCUUCAAAAAUAAUUCACAUGCCUAGCACCUUAACCUUUAUUGUCAAACUCUUGUUUUUCAUGUUAUCUUCUUCAAUCCAUUGAAUUAGCACAUAGAUAAGCUUAAUAACAAGAGCCAAAACAUAAUCAAACUGUUUAUAACAAUUUCCAGCCACAACAAACCAUAUAUACAGCCUCAACACAGCCCACAGAAAAAGAUAACGAUUUCGUAUGCCAUGUCAAUUACUAUCUUGCAGAUUUUCACUCAACGAACACAUGAUUAACCUUAAGCAUUGUCGUGCCCUCUUUUUUUCCUUUUUGACGGGGAAGUCCUAGUUUCGACAUUCACGGGGGAACAACUCGUUUCCUUUUGAGAAUUGGGUAUUUUGAAGAGUCGCCACCUAACGGAUUAAGGUGCGUUAGAGCACAUAGAGUGUUUAACUCAUGUACUAGUUUGCAUCACCAGAGAUUGGGGUAAGGGCUCGAAAUAACCUUGAGUGGAAGGUGUUAGGCACCCCUUGCGGUCCACAAUGGUGAGUCACGGCCGAACUUAAACUAUGUGAAUUAGUCAUUUUAUAGGUAAACAAUUUCAACACAUAUUCAUAAAUAAAGGCAUGUUUUCACAUUCUAAGCACAUGUAUGAUUCAGGUAAUGGAAGAAAGGGAGAGGUUUGAACAACUUUCAUAUAUAUCUAUAUGUGUGUGUGUGUGCGUGUGUGCGUGCGUGUGUAAAAAAAGGAAGUACAUUUAAACACAUAGGAAUUGGGAAAGAGGGGGUCCUAGGUUGGUUAGCCUACAGGAUCAUACCCAUGCAAUGUCCAGUAAUCACUCCUUAAUGAGGGGCUACACGUGUCAUUGGUGCGCAGUCAUCACAUCCUUACUACCCAAUUCCCUCCCCUUGGUCAUAGCCUAAAGCGUUCUAGCAAUCUUAAAAGAUAUCCUAUGCGUGCACUACCCGUCCCGUCCUUGUGGCCCUAAGGUAUUUAGGACCACUAAUUCGGGUAGUUCUAUACUAUCCUAAGGUACUUUAAAGGAGAAAAAUCUAGGCGACUACCAAAACAAUUAGGAUUGCACCCAAGAUAGAACGAUUAAAGGCUCAAGUUUUACCUUUACAAACAGAGCAAGCAAGUGCACGUCUUAAACACAGUCUCAGGUAUUUAAAGAAGCCCUAGAACAAGAUAUCUAGGUGAGCAGAGAAUAUUCAUUAUUGAGUGAGGACCAAACUAUCAAAGACCUAUUCAGUUUGCCUGUUGAUUUUAGACCUGUUGUAUAUGAGCAGUCACAAAUAACAAAGCAUAGCUUUACAGUUUGCAAGAUUUUUAAUCGCCCUACAUGCUUGCCUAGGCGUUUAAUAGUGAUGUCCUGUGAGCAUGGUAUCUAAUCAUUGAUUAGGAAAGCAGUAAAAUAGUAAACAAUUUUAAACGGACAAUUAGGAUCCUAUAGGCAUGCUUUCUAGUGAUAUUAAUUAACACGACGUUGAAGAUUAUUAAAGAAACGAGUAGGUUAGUCAAUUAAACUGAUUCAGAACCUACAAGCAUGAGUUAAAUUGAUUGUAGAUCUAACUGAUUUUGGAUCUUAUAGGCAUGAUUUCUAUAAUUAAAGCUGAUUUAGAUCCUAUAGGCAUGACUUCUAAUUAUGUAAAAGUAAAGAAAGCAGAAUUCAUUUGAACCGAAGCAAAUCCUAUAGACAUAAUGUCUAACAAACACAUUUGAACAAAAUGAACCAUAUAGGCAUGUCAUCUAAUAAAAGACAUUUGAACCAAAUGAACCCUAUAGGCAUGUUAUCUAAUAAAACAUAUUUGAACCAAGCAAACCUAUAUGCAUGUUAUCUAAUAAAACACAUUUGAACCAAGAAAACCUAUAGGCAUGUUAUCUACCCAACUUUCCCACAGUAUACAACUACUCUCCCUUUUUACUAGUCACCUUAAAUCUAUUUAUAAUUAAUUAUUACAGACCAAUGAUUGAUUUUUUUUUACAUAAAUAGAAUAUAAGUUAAGUUAUAGGGAACCUGAAGUAGGCCCAAAGCAAAUACUGGUGUACCAAGCCUUCACUAGUCUCAAAUGCCCAAGAUUCCAUAGACCAAUUCAUGUCCAGGUGUGUCAGAGUUACCUAAGGACCUCAAGGAUUCCGGGCAGUGCUCACACCCAGACAUUCCUCAAAUUAAGACUGAUUAUGUGCAAUGUGGAAGAGCCAACCUUGAUAUGCCAGAGUUUAAAGAGACCUCAAGGAUCUCUAAGCAGUACACAUACUAAAGGGGCAGGACCUAAUGAACUAAGAGUAAGUGGGAGUGCAUAAUUUUAAACAAAGGCUUUGGUGAACAGUGUAGAGAAGGGUCUUAGGACUUUUUGAAAACUAGUACUAGUUUGGGUAAAAUAGUAGUUAGAAAACAAGAAAAAGAACAUCUUGAAAUCAGAAUACAAGUCCUAGAACAGCUUUAGAAAACACUUUGAAAAACAGACUUCACAUAAGGAGAAAGGGGUAGGGGAUACAUAGAAUACACCUUAUUGAUAGCAAACAGAUACACAAAUUCCUCAAGAAGUUGUGGAAUUGACAAGUUAGUUACAAAGAUUACAACAAAGACAUAUUGAGAAAUCAUAGGUCUUAGACAUGACCAAUACACACAACUAGAGUACUUUGAAAGGUUAGAUGCCUUAGCAGGAUCUCAUUAGUAAAUAGAGUAGGUAAGACUUAAAUGAAUAAACUAGGCAAGCACUUCAUGAAGUAUUCAAAGUUUUAGAAACACUAAUCACAUAUAGAACAAGCAGAAUUUAGACAUGCUGGGUGUGACAGUAAAUAAACAAUGCAGCUUGGACAUACUAGUGAACAAAUAGGAUUAAUGCAAUUAUCUAAUAGCAGGAUUGGGCAUGCUACACAGUAAACAGAUCCUUUUUUGUAAAUAUACUAGUCAUAGCUACAAACAGAACAAACUCCAACAUGCUAAGUGAUACAGUAGUUAGGUGGUAUAAUCUAGGCAUGCUGGUUAAACAUUGAGCAACAUGAUAGUAGAAUAGUAAAUAGAACUGGAAGUCAUAACUAAUAAGCUGCAGCAACAAAGAAAACACAUAGUUUUGGAAUUUGAAUUAAAUCAGGACAUACCAGCUAAGGAGAGAAUUCAGAGUAUAGAACAGAUAUGGUGCAAAUAGCCAGCCUUGGCUUACAACCGACUGGAUUAGUGAGAAUUGCAAGUAAUAGAAAAGAAUAGAAAGCUUUUGAGAGAGUGAGAGUAUUGAUAAACUAAUCUCCUCUUUCAAAAUCCAAAAUGGGGAGCUUAUAUAGCACUUAGCCGAAUAAAACAAAUAAGGCAAAGAAUAAUUAAGAGUUCCAAAUAAGGUGUGCAAGCAAAAUUAAAUAGUUAAUUGGGGCUAAACCCAAUAAAAUAAUUCAACAAAAUCCGAAAAUCACCCCUUAUAUUAGGGAGAAUCAAUUAACACCAAGUUAUAGGUUCAAUAAUGUAAAUAAAUCAAUCAAAGACCCUCUAGGAGUUAGUUAAAGCAAUUAAAUCCUAUAAAUCAGGCUAAUAAAAAAAUUAAGGAAAGUAGUACCAGUCAUGAGUCACAAAUAAGGAAAUAAAUCACAGGGAAAUACCAAUCUCGGCAAAAAAUAUAUUUUGAACCCUAAUUAGGCAAAUAAAAUUAGUCAAUCCCUUUUAACUGACAAAACUAACGAAUAACGGGAAAAAUAUUGAAAUAAUCAGUGAAAUAAGCAGAAACCCUAGGGAUUAAAACAUAAAUAUGAAAAAUCAGUCGAACAAGUAAAGAGAACCACAGUCAAACACUUUAGAAUUUUUGCAAAAAACUUAAAGGGAUGAAACCGUAGUUUGAAAACACUUAAAGAAGAAAACUUGAAUGCAUUUCAACAUACAGAGAUUCAAACAACCCGAAGUAAUAAUAGUCAAAACCUGAAGUAUUGUAGUGUUUAAAAAUUGGUCAGUAGUAAAGGAGUAAAUGAACCCAGAAGGGUACCCAUGGAAGUUUAAAAAUGUUUCAGAUACCUAGAGGUUCGACCAAUAAACAACAAGAAAACAAACCAUAAUAUAACAAAAAAAAUGUUCAGACAUCGAUUAACUUGUAAAUAAGUAAAGAAACAUUUAGGAAAAUCAACGAUGAACUCAGGAUCGCUCAAGAUCUAUGGAGAUCUAAACUAUUUCAAGUCCAAACAUUAGAUUUCAUGAAGAAAAGAGAAUGUGUAAGAGAAUCUGGCCUUUGAAUCAACGAUUUUAUCCAUGAGACUUUGAUAUAAAUUAUUCACUUACCAUAGACGAACUUUUGAAGAGUUUAAAAUUAGAUCUGGACUUGAUCUCUUCGAAAUCCAUCCACGAAACCACACAAUCAAGCAACCCAGGGAGAUAUGAGACAAGUAGAGGCCUCGUACAACCAUAAGACGCCAUAGAUCGGACAGGGAUUCAAGGGAUUAGGGCUGAUUUUAGGUGACGACGAUUAGGGUUAGGGGUUGG